CCUACGGGUGGCAGCAGUGGGGAAUAUUGCGCAAUGGGCGAAAGCCUGACGCAGCGACGCCGCGUGAGGGAUGAAGGUCUUCGGAUCGUAAACCUCUGUCAGCAGGGAAGAACGGUCACUGUGCUAAUCAGCAGUGAAUUGACGGUACCUGCAAAGGAAGCACCGGCUAACUCCGUGCCAGCAGCCGCGGUAAUCCGUAGGGUGCGCGCGUUAAUCGGAAUUACUGGGCGUAAAGCGCUCGUAGGCGGUAUGUCAAGUCAAGGGUGAAAGCCCCGCGCUCAACGUGGGAACUGCCUUUGAAACUGGCAAACUGGAGUGUGUGAGAGGAUAGUGGAAUGCCAGGUGUAGGAGUGAAAUCCGUAGAUAUCUGGAGGAACAUCAGUGGCGAAGGCGACUAUCUGGCACAUAACUGACGCUGAGGAGCGAAAGCGUGGGUAGCAAACAGGAUUAGAUACCCGAGUAGUC
This 465-nucleotide ribosomal RNA is filed under the name uncultured bacterium. Its description in RNAcentral is "partial 16S ribosomal RNA". It matches the Rfam family "Bacterial small subunit ribosomal RNA", at positions 338 to 795 of the family's 1533-position model. The record is from RNAcentral.